UACGUAGGGUGCGAGCGUUAAUCGGAAUUACUGGGCGUAAAGCGUGCGCAGGCGGUUUUGUAAGCCAGAUGUGAAAUCCCCGGGCUUAACCUGGGAAUGGCAUUUGGGACUGCAAGGCUGGAGUGUGGCAGAGGAGACUGGAAUUCCUGGUGUAGCAGUGAAAUGCGUAGAUAUCAGGAGGAACACCGAUGGCGAAGGCAGCUCGCUGGGACGUGACUGACGCUGAGACGCGAAAGCGUGGGGAGCAAACAGG
Molecule: ribosomal RNA, 253 nt
Filed under: uncultured bacterium
Lineage: Bacteria
Description: partial 16S ribosomal RNA
Rfam family: Bacterial small subunit ribosomal RNA
Source: RNAcentral